AAAAACAUGAAAUGAUACAAGAUACACCAGGGAAAAAACGAUUUACACUCUACUGGGAGGCCUAUACUUCUGUAAAUAUAAUCGAAGGCCGGUCCAUCUUCUUGCCCAGGCCUUGUGGUAUGUUACAAACAACAUGGUGGAAGGUACAAUGUAGGGACAAUGUAUCAGCCUCUACAAUUGCUGUAUACAAGCAUCCUCGAGAUGUGGCGUUCACUCUAAUUAGUUUUUGCCCGUUUCCAUACAAUAACUGUACCGUCUGAAUCAGAUGAGGCAAGCAAAUUUUCCCCAUGAUUCCAGGCCACUCCCAUUACUGGAGAGCCG
Molecule: long non-coding RNA, 321 nt
Filed under: Hordeum vulgare
Lineage: Eukaryota; Viridiplantae; Streptophyta; Magnoliopsida; Poales; Poaceae
Description: long non-coding RNA (HVUL_LNC003468)
Source: RNAcentral